UUAGCCGACUGAUGGUACGGCCCGGGGGCGGGGGGGAAGAACAGCUGGGUCGCUAAUGUAUCUCUGUGGCGCUGUCCUUCGCCGCUUCAUUGUGUGUGGCUGCUGCGUGCCGGCUCGUGUUCCUGCGGCCCGGCAGCCCCCAGAGGUAAUCUUUUAAGAGAUUGUUUAAUCAACCAACUGAAUUUUCUUCCAUUGAGAAUUUUAUAA
Molecule: long non-coding RNA, 207 nt
Organism: Gopherus evgoodei (Goodes thornscrub tortoise)
Lineage: Eukaryota; Metazoa; Chordata; Testudines; Testudinidae
Exons: 3
Source: RefSeq, a predicted model, not a curated record